RNAcentral lists this ribosomal RNA (305 nucleotides) under uncultured bacterium. RNAcentral describes it as "bacterial SSU rRNA". It matches the Rfam family "Bacterial small subunit ribosomal RNA", at positions 333 to 654 of the family's 1533-position model. The record is from RNAcentral.
UUUUCCCUACGGGGGGCAGCAGUGGGGAAUAUUGGGCAAUGGGCGCAAGCCUGACCCAGCAACGCCGCGUGAAGGAAGAAGGCUUUCGGGUUGUAAACUUCUUUUAAGAGGGAAGAGUAGAAGACGGUACCUCUUGAAUAAGCCACGGCUAACUACGUGCCAGCAGCCGCGGUAAUACGUAGGUGGCAAGCGUUGUCCGGAUUUACUGGGUGUAAAGGAUGCGUAGGCGGGCUUUUAAGUCAGCGGUAAAAAUUCGGGGCUCAACCCCGUCCGGCCGUUGAAACUGGGGGCCUUGAGUGGGCGAG